Molecule: ribosomal RNA, 492 nt
Filed under: uncultured bacterium
Lineage: Bacteria
Description: partial 16S ribosomal RNA
Rfam family: Bacterial small subunit ribosomal RNA
Source: RNAcentral
AGUGAGCGCUGGCGGUAGGCCUAACACAUGCAAGUCGAACGGCAGCACAGUAAGAGCUUGCUCUUACGGGUGGCGAGUGGCGGACGGGUGAGGAAUACAUCGGAAUCUACUUUUUCGUGGGGGAUAACGUAGGGAAACUUACGCUAAUACCGCAUACGACCUACGGGUGAAAGCAGGGGCUCUUCGGACCUUGCGCGAUUGAAUGCGCCGAUGUCGGAUUAGCUAGUUGGCGGGGUAAAGGCCCACCAAGGCGACGAUCCGUAGCUGGUCUGAGAGGAUGAUCAGCCACACUGGAACUGAGACACGGUCCAGACUCCUACGGGAGGCAGCAGUGGGGAAUAUUGGACAAUGGGCGCAAGCCUGAUCCAGCCAUACCGCGUGGGUGAAGAAGGCCUUCGGGUUGUAAAGCCCUUUUGUUGGGAAAGAAAAGCAGCAGGUUAAUACCCCGCUGUUCUGACGGUACCCAAAGAAUAAGCACCGGCUAACUUCGUG